RNAcentral lists this ribosomal RNA (506 nucleotides) under uncultured bacterium. RNAcentral's name for it is "partial 16S ribosomal RNA". It matches the Rfam family "Bacterial small subunit ribosomal RNA", at positions 30 to 523 of the family's 1533-position model. The record is from RNAcentral.
AUUGAACGCUGGCGGCAGGCUUAACACAUGCAAGUCGAGCGGUAACAGAGAGAAGCUUGCUUCUCUGCUGACGAGCGGCGGGCGGGUGAGUAAUGCCUAGGAAUCUGCCUAGUAGUGGGGGAUAACUUGCCGAAAGGUAAGCUAAUACCGCAUACGUCCUACGGGAGAAAGGAGGGGACCUUCGGGCCUUUCGCUAUUAGAUGAGCCUAGGUCGGAUUAGUUAGUUGGUGAGGUAAUGGCUCACCAAGACCGCGAUCCGUAACUGGUCUGAGAGGAUGAUCAGUCACACUGGAACUGAGACACGGUCCAGACUCCUACGGGAGGCAGCAGUGGGGAAUAUUGGACAAUGGGGGGAACCCUGAUCCAGCCAUGCCGCGUGUGUGAAGAAGGUCUUAGGAUUGUAAAGCACUUUAAGUUGGGAGGAAGAGCAGUUAACUAAUAUUUGACUGUUUUGACGCUACCGACAGAAUAAGCACCGGCUAACUUCGUGCCAGCCGCCGCGGUAA